CUACGGGAGGCAGCAGUGAGGAAUAUUGCACAAUGGGGGGAACCCUGAUGCAGCAACGCCGCGUGGAGGAUGACGCAUUUCGGUGUGUAAACUCCUUUUAUAUGUCAAGAAAAUGACGGUAGCAUAUGAAUAAGCACCGGCUAACUCCGUGCCAGCAGCCGCGGUAAUACGGAGGGUGCAAGCGUUACUCGGAAUCACCGGGCGUAAAGGACGCGUAGGCGGGUUGGGAAGUCAGGUGUGAAAUCCUACAGCUUAACUGUAGAACUGCACUUGAAACUUCUAAUCUAGAGUAUGGGAGGGGGAGAUGGAAUUAGUGGUGUAGGGGUAAAAUCCGUAGAUAUCACGAGGAAUACCUAAGGCGAAGGCGAUCUCCUGGAACAUUACUGACGCUAAGGCGUGAAAGCGUGGGGAGCAAACAGGAUUAGAUACCCCGGUAGUC
This 439-nucleotide ribosomal RNA is filed under the name uncultured bacterium. RNAcentral describes it as "partial 16S ribosomal RNA". It matches the Rfam family "Bacterial small subunit ribosomal RNA", at positions 339 to 795 of the family's 1533-position model. The record is from RNAcentral.